UUUAUGGAGAGUUUGAUCCUGGCUCAGGAUGAACGCUGGCGGCGUGCCUAAUACAUGCAAGUCGAGCGAACGGACGAGAAGCUUGCUUCUCUGAUGUUAGCGGCGGACGGGUGAGUAACACGUGGAUAACCUACCUAUAAGACUGGGAUAACUUCGGGAAACCGGAGCUAAUACCGGAUAAUAUUUUGAACCGCAUGGUUCAAAAGUGAAAGACGGUCUUGCUGUCACUUAUAGAUGGAUCCGCGCUGCAUUAGCUAGUUGGUAAGGUAACGGCUUACCAAGGCAACGAUGCAUAGCCGACCUGAGAGGGUGAUCGGCCACACUGGAACUGAGACACGGUCCAGACUCCUACGGGAGGCAGCAGUAGGGAAUCUUCCGCAAUGGGCGAAAGCCUGACGGAGCAACGCCGCGUGAGUGAUGAAGGUCUUCGGAUCGUAAAACUCUGUUAUUAGGGAAGAACAUAUGUGUAAGUAACUGUGCACAUCUUGACGGUACCUAAUCAGAAAGCCACGGCUAACUACGUGCCAGCAGCCGCGGUAAUACGUAGGUGGCAAGCGUUAUCCGGAAUUAUUGGGCGUAAAGCGCGCGUAGGCGGUUUUUUAAGUCUGAUGUGAAAGCCCACGGCUCAA
RNAcentral lists this ribosomal RNA (629 nucleotides) under Staphylococcus aureus. RNAcentral's name for it is "bacterial SSU rRNA". It matches the Rfam family "Bacterial small subunit ribosomal RNA", at positions 1 to 612 of the family's 1533-position model. Lineage: Bacteria; Bacillati; Bacillota; Bacilli; Caryophanales; Staphylococcaceae. The record is from RNAcentral.